Molecule: ribosomal RNA, 265 nt
Filed under: uncultured archaeon
Lineage: Archaea
Description: partial 16S ribosomal RNA
Rfam family: Archaeal small subunit ribosomal RNA
Source: RNAcentral
ACACGACUACAUUAGAUACCCCCGUAGUCCCAGCCGUAAACAAUGUGCGUUAGGUGUGUCGGUAACCACGCGUUACUGAUGCGCCGAAGAGAAAUCGUGAAACGCACCACCUGGGAAGUACGGUCGCAAGGCUGAAACUUAAAGGAAUUGGCGGGGGAGCACCACAACAGGUGGAGCCUGCGGUUUAAUUGGAUUCAACGCCGGACAUCUCACCGGAUAAGACAGCUGAAUGAUUGUCAAUCUGAAGGUUUUACAUGACUAGCUG